Molecule: long non-coding RNA, 11090 nt
Filed under: Xyrichtys novacula (pearly razorfish)
Lineage: Eukaryota; Metazoa; Chordata; Actinopteri; Labriformes; Labridae
Source: RNAcentral
GUUAGGGUUAGGGUUGGAGCUAGGGUUAGAGCUAGGGUUAGGGUUAGGGUUGGAGCUAGGGUUAGGGUAAGGGUUAGGGUUGGAGCUAGGGUUAGGGUUAGGGUUAGGGUUGGAGCUAGGGUUAGGGUUAGGUUGGAGCUAGGGUUAGGGUUAGGGUUGGAGCUAGGGUUAGGGUUAGGGUUAGGGUUGGAACUAGGGUUAAAGUUAGGGUUAGGGUUGGAGCUAGGGUAAGGGUUAGGGUUAGGGUUGGAGCUAGGGUUGGGGAUAGGGUUGGAGCUAGGGUUAGGGUUAGGGUUGGAGCUAGGGUUAGGGUUAGGGUUAGGGUUGGAGCUAGGGUUAGGGUUAGGGUUAGGGUUGGAGCUAGGGUUAGGGUUAGGGUUAGGGUUGGAGCUAGGGUUAGGGUUAGGUUGGAGCCAGGGUUAGGGUUAGGGUUGGAGCUAGGGUUAGGGUUAGGGUUAGGGUUGGAACUAGGGUUAAAGUUAGGGUUAGGGUUGGAGCUAGGGUAAGGUUUAGGGUUAGGGUUGGAGCUAGGGUUGGGGAUAGGGUUGGAGCUAGGGUUAGGGUUAGGGUUGGAGCUAGGGUUAGGGUUAGGGUUAGGGUUGGAGCUAGGGUUAGGGUUAGGGUUAGGGUUGGAGCUAGGGUUAGGGUUAGGGUUAGGGUUGGAGCUAGGGUUAGAGUUAGGGUUAGGGUUGGAGCUAGGGUUAGGGUUAGGGUUAGGGUUGGAGCUACGGUUAGGGUUAGGGUUAUGGUUGGAGCUAGGGUUAGGGUUAGGGUUUGGGUUGCAGCUACGGUUAGGGUUAGGGUUAGGGUUGGAGCUAGGGUUAGGGUUAGGGUUGGAGCUAGGGUUAGGGUUAGGGUUGGAGCUAGGGUUAGGGUUAGGGUUAGGGUUGGAGCUAGAGUUAGGGUUGCAGCUAGGGUCAGGGUUAGGGUUAGGGUUGGAGAUAGGGUUAGGGUUAGGGUUAGGGUUGGAGCUAGGGUUAGGGUUAGGGUUGGAGCUAGGGUUACGGUUAGGGUUAGAGUUAGGGUUGGAGCUAGGGUUAGGGUUGGAGCUAGGGUUAGAGUUAGGGUUGGAGCUAGGGUUAGGGUUAGGGUUAGGGUUGGAGCAAGGGUCAGGGUUAGGGAUGGAGCUAGGGUUAGGGUUAGGGUUAGGGUUGGAGCUACGGUUAGGGUUAGGGUUAGGGUUGGAGCUAGGGUUAGAGCUAGGGUUAGGGUUAGGGUUGGAGCUAGGGUUAGGGUAAGGGUUAGGGUUGGAGCUAGGGUUAGGGUUAGGGUUAGGGUUGGAGCUAGGGUUAGGGUUAGGUUGGAGCUAGGGUUAGGGUUAGGGUUGGAGCUAGGGUUAGGGUUAGGGUUAGGGUUGGAACUAGGGUUAAAGUUAGGGUUAGGGUUGGAGCUAGGGUAAGGGUUAGGGUUAGGGUUGGAGCUAGGGUUGGGGAUAGGGUUGGAGCUAGGGUUAGGGUUAGGGUUGGAGCUAGGGUUAGGGUUAGGGUUAGGGUUGGAGCUAGGGUUAGGGUUAGGGUUAGGGUUGGAGCUAGGGUUAGGGUUAGGGUUAGGGUUGGAGCUAGGGUUAGGGUUGCAGCUAGGGUUAGAGUUAGGGUUAGGGUUGGAGCUAGGGUUAGGGUUAGGGUUAGGGUUGGAGCUAGGGUUAGGGUUAGGGUUAGGGUUGGAGCUAGGGUUAGGGUUAGGGUUAGGGUUCGAGCUAGGGUUAGGGUUAGGGUUAGGGUUGGAGCUAGGGUUAGGGUUGGAGCUAGGGUUAGGGUUAGGGUUAGGGUUGGAGCUAGAGUUAGGGUUGCAGCUAAGGUUAGGGUUAGGGUUAGGGUUGGAGCUAGGGUUAGGGUUAGGGUUGGAGCUAGGGUUAGGGUUAGAGUUGGAGCUAGGGUUAGGGUUAGGGUUGGAGCUAGGGUUAGGGUUAGGGUUAGGGUUGGAGCUAGAGUUAGGGUUGCAGCUAGGGUUAGGGUUAGGGUUAGGGUUGGAGCUAGGGUUAGGGUUAGGGUUGGAGCUAGGGUUAGGGUUAGGGUUAGGGUUGGAGCUAGGGUUACGGUUAGGGUUAGGGUUGGAGCUAGGGUUGGAGCUAGGGUUAGGGUUAGGGUUAGGGUUGGAGCUAGGGUUAGGGAUAGGGUUGGAGCUAGGGUUAGGGUUAGGGUUGGAGCUAGGGUCAGGAUUAGGGUUAGGGUUGGAGCUAGGGUUAGGGUUGGAGCUAGGGUUAGGGUUAGGGUUAGGGUUGGAGCUAGGGUUAGGGUUAGGGUUGGAGCUAGGGUUAGAGUUAGGGUUAGGGUUGGAGCCAGGGUUAGGGUUAGGGUUAGGGUUGGAGCUAGGGUUAGGGUUAGGGUUAGGGUUGGAGCUAGGGUUAGGGUUAGGGUUGGAGCUAGGGUUAGGGUUAGGGUUAGGGUUGGAGCUAGGGUUAGGGUUAGGGUUGGAGCUAGGGUUAGGGUUAGGGUUAGGGUUGGAGCUAGGGUUAGGGUUAGGGUUGGAGCUAGGGUUAGGGUUAGGGUUAGGGUUGGAGCUAGAGUUAGGGUUGCAGCUAGGGUUAGGGUUAGGGUUAGGGUUGGAGCUAGGGUUAGGGUUAGGGUUAGGGUUGGAGCUAGGGUUAGGGUUAGGGUUAGGGUUGGAGCUAGGGUUACGGUUAGGGUUAGAGUUAGGGUUGGAGCUAGGGUUAGGGUUGGAGCUAGGGUUAGGGUUAGGGUUGGAGCUAGGGUUAGGGUUAGGGUUAGGGUUGGAGCUAGGGUCAGGGUUAGGGAUGGAGCUAGGGUUAGGGUUAGGGUUAGGGUUGGAGCUAGGGUUAGGGUUAGGGUUAGGGUUGGAGCUAGGGUUAGGGUUAGGGUUGGAGCUAGGGUUAGAGCUAGGGUUAGGGUUAGGGUUGGAGCUAGGGUUAGGGUAAGGGUUAGGGUUGGAGCUAGGGUUAGGGUUAGGGUUGGAGCUAGGGUUAGGGUUAGGUUGGAGCUAGGGUUAGGGUUAGGGUUGGAGCUAGGGUUAGGGUUAGGGUUAGGGUUGGAACUAGGGUUAAAGUUAGGGUUAGGGUUGGAGCUAGGGUAAGGUUUAGGGUUAGGGUUGGAGCUAGGGUUAGGGUUAGGGUUAGGGUUGGAGCUAGGGUUAGGGUUAGGGUUGGAGCUAGGGUUAGAGCUAGGGUUAGGGUUAGGGUUGGAGCUAGGGUUAGGGUAAGGGUUAGGGUUGGAGCUAGGGUUAGGGUUAGGGUUAGGGUUGGAGCUAGGGUUAGAGUUAGGGUUAGGGUUGGAGCUAGGGUUAGGGUUAGGGUUAGGGUUGGAGCUAGGGUUAGGGUUAGGGUUAGGGUUGGAGCUAGGGUUAGGGUUAGGGUUAGGGUUGGAGCUAGGGUUAGGGUUAGGGUUAGGGUUGGAGCUAGGGUUAGGGUUAGGGUUGGAGCUAGGGUUAGGGUUAGGGUUAGGGUUGGAGCUAGAGUUAGGGUUGCAGCUAGGGUCAGGGUUAGGGUUAGGGUUGGAGAUAGGGUUAGGGUUAGGGUUAGGGUUGGAGCUAGGGUUAGGGUUAGAGUUAGGGUUGGAGCUAGGGUUAGGGUUGGAGCUAGGGUUAGAGUUAGGGUUGGAGCUAGGGUUAGGGUUAGGGUUAGGGUUGGAGCAAGGGUCAGGGUUAGGGAUGGAGCUAGGGUUAGGGUUAGGGUUAGGGUUGGAGCUACGGUUAGGGUUAGGGUUAGGGUUGGAGCUAGGUUUAGGGUUAGGGUUGGAGCUAGGGUUAGAGCUAGGGUUAGGGUUAGGGUUGGAGCUAGGGUUAGGGUAAGGGUUAGGGUUGGAGCUAGGGUUAGGGUUAGGGUUGGAGCAAGGGUUAGGGUUAGGUUGGAGCUAGGGUUAGGGUUAGGGUUGGAGCUAGGGUUAGGGUUAGGGUUAGGGUUGGAGCUAGGGUUAGGGUUAGGGUUAGGGUUGGAGCUAGGGUUAGGGCUAGGGUUAGGGUUGGAGCUAGGGUUAGGGUUAGGGUUAGGGUUAGGGUUGGAGCUAGGGUUAGGGUUAGGGUUAGGGUUGGAGCAAGGGUUAGGGUUAGGGUUGGAGCUAGGGUUAGGGUUAGGGUUGCAGCUAGGGUCAGGGUUAGGGUUAGGGUUGGAGCUAGGGUUAGGGUUAGGGUUAGGGUUGGAGCUAGGGUUAGGGUUAGGGUUAGGGUUAGGGUUGGAGCUAGGGUUAGGGUUACGGUUGGAGCUAGGGUUAGGGUUGCAGCUAGGGUUAGGGUUAGGGUUAGGGUUGGAGCUAGGGUUAGGGUUAAGGUUGGAGCUAGGGUUAGGAUAUAGGGAUAUGUGCCACUUUUGACAUGCCGGUUCAUUGCCUUUCCCAUCGAUGAACCGGGCUGAGAUUUGGUCUACCCCCCCAUUUUCGGGUAUGCUGAAUCUAGAAAUAGUAAUGAACCAGCGAUCGGACAUUCCUAUCAAAAGUUAUGGCGAAGUGAAAAUUUCCCAUUGAAAAUGAAUGGGAGCGGAAAAUGGCCAAAGUCAGUGUUUGCAAGUGUUGUACUUGUCUGGAAGUGUUGAAAAUGCAUUGUGAGCACGUUUCAGGCUAUUUCCUGUCAUUUGAGGGCGACUUUGCAAAAAGAGGUGUCAUACCGCUUUUGACCAGAGGUGGUGCUGCACAUGUCCGACGGUUAGGGUUAGGGUGAGACUUUGGGCUAGGGGUUAGGGUUAGGGCUGGAGCUAGGGUUAGGGUUAGGGUUGGAGCUAGGGUUAGGGUUAGGGUUGGAGCUAGGGUUAGGGUUAGGGUUGGAGCUAGGGUUAGGGUUAGGGUUAGGAAAAUGUGAAGAUUUUCCCAAAAUCUGAAGAUUUUCCUAAGUGCGGACCCAAUUUUUCACCUUCCAGAAUUGUGUUAGGAGCACGUUUUAGGCCACGGGAGUCCAUAGAACCUGAUUGUGGGUGAAGUUUUCGGGGGUUAGGGUUAGGGUUAGGGUUAGGGUUAGGGUUAGGGUUUAGGGUUAGGGUUAGGGUUAGGGUUGGAGCUAGGGUUAGGGUAAGGGUUAGGGUUGGAGCUAGGGUUAGGGUUAGGGUUAGGGUUGGAGCUAGGGUUAAGUUUAGGUUGGAGCUAGGGUUAGGGUUAGGGUUGGAGCUAGGGUUAGGGUUAGGGUUAGGGUUGGAACUAGGGUUAAAGUUAGGGUUAGGGUUGGAGCUAGGGUAAGGGUUAGGGUUAGGGUUGGAGCUAGGGUUGGGGAUAGGGUUGGAGCUAGGGUUAGGGUUAGGGUUGGAGCUAGGGUUAGGGUUAGGGUUAGGGUUGGAGCUAGGGUUAGGGUUAGGGUUAGGGUUGGAGCUAGAGUUAGGGUUGCAGCUAGGGUUAGAGUUAGGGUUAGGGUUGGAGCUAGGGUUAGGGUUAGGGUUAGGGUUGGAGCUAGGGUUGGAGCUAGGGUUAGGGUUAGGGUUAGGGUUGGAGCUAGGGUUAGGGUUAGGGUUAGGGUUGGAGCUAGGGUUGGGGUUAGGGUUAGGGUUGGAGCUAGGGUUAGGGUUAGGGUUAGGGUUGGAGCUAGGGUUAGAGUUAGGGUUAGGGUUGGAGCUAGGGUUAGGGUUAGGGUUAGGGUUGGAGCUAGGGUUAGGGUUAGGGUUAGGGUUGGAGCUAGGGUUAGGGUUAGGGUUGGAGCUAGGGUUAGGGUUAGGGUUAGGGUUGGAGCUAGGGUUAGGGUUAGGGUUAGGGUUGGAGCUAGGGUUAGGGUUAGGGUUGGAGCUAGGGUUAGGGUUAGGGUUGGAGCUAGGGUUAGGGUUAGGGUUAGGGUUGGAGCUAGAGUUAGGGUUGCAGCUAGGGUUAGGGUUAGGGUUAGGGUUGGAGCUAGGGUUAGGGUUAGGGUUAGGGUUGGAGCUAGGGUUAGGGUUAGGGUUAGGGUUGGAGCUAGGGUUACGGUUAGGGUUAGAGUUAGGGUUGGAGCUAGGGUUAGGGUUGGAGCUAGGGUUAGGGUUAGGGUUAGGGUUGGAGCUAGGGUCAGGGUUAGGGAUGGAGCUAGGGUUAGGGUUAGGGUUAGGGUUGGAGCUAGGGUUAGGGUUAGGGUUAGGGUUGGAGCUAGGGUUAGGGUUAGGGUUGGAGCUAGGGAUAGUGCUAGGGUUAGGGUUAGGGUUGGAGCUAGGGUUAGGGUUAGGGUUAGGGUUGGAGCUAGGGUUAGGGUUGGAGCUAGGGUUAGGGUUAGGUUGGAGCUAGGGUUAGGGUUAGGGUUGGAGCUAGGGUUAGGGUUAGGGUUAGGGUUGGAACUAGGGUUAAAGUUAGGGUUAGGGUUGGAGCUAGGGUAAGGUUUAGGGUUAGGGUUGGAGCUAGGGUUGGGGAUAGGGUUGGAGCUAGGGUUAGGGUUAGGGUUGGAGCUAGGGUUAGGGUUAGGGUUAGGGUUGGAGCUAGGGUUAGGGUUAGGGUUAGGGUUGGAGCUAGGGUUAGGGUUAGGGUUAGGGUUGGAGCUAGGGUUAGAGUUAGGGUUAGGGUUGGAGCUAGGGUUAGGGUUAGGGUUAGGGUUGGAGCUAGGGUUAGGGUUAGGGUUAGGGUUGGAGCUAGGGUUAGGGUUAGGGUUAGGGUUGGAGCUAGGGUUAGGGUUAGGGUUAGGGUUGGAGCUAGGGUUAGGGUUAGGGUUGGAGCUAGGGUUAGGGUUAGGGUUGGAGCUAGGGUUAGGGUUAGGGUUAGGGUUGGAGCUAGAGUUAGGGUUGCAGCUAGGGUCAGCGUUAGGGUUAGGGUUGGAGAUAGGGUUAGGGUUAGGGUUAGGGUUGGAGCUAGGGUUAGGGUUAGGGUUGGAGCUAGGGUUACGGUUAGGGUUAGAGUUAGGGUUGGAGCUAGGGUUAGGGUUGGAGCUAGGGUUAGAGUUAGGGUUGGAGCUAGGGUUAGGGUUAGGGUUAGGGUUGGAGCAAGGGUCAGGGUUAGGGAUGGAGCUAGGGUUAGGGUUAGGGUUAGGGUUGGAGCUACGGUUAGGGUUAGGGUUAGGGUUGGAGCUAGGGUUAGAGCUAGGGUUAGGGUUAGGGUUGGAGCUAGGGUUAGGGUAAGGGUUAGGGUUGGAGCUAGGGUUAGGGUUAGGGUUAGGGUUGGAGCUAGGGUUAGGGUUAGGUUGGAGCUAGGGUUAGGGUUAGGGUUGGAGCUAGGGUUAGGGUUAGGGUUAGGGUUGGAACUAGGGUUAAAGUUAGGGUUAGGGUUGGAGCUAGGGUAAGGGUUAGGGUUAGGGUUGGAGCUAGGGUUGGGGAUAGGGUUGGAGAUAGGGUUAGGGUUAGGGUUGGAGCUAGGGUUAGGGUUAGGGUUAGGGUUGGAGCUAGGGUUAGGGUUAGGGUUAGGGUUGGAGCUAGGGUUAGGGUUAGGGUUAGGGUUGGAGCUAGGGUUAGGGUUAGGUUGGAGCCAGGGUUAGGGUUAGGGUUGGAGCUAGGGUUAGGGUUAGGGUUAGGGUUGGAACUAGGGUUAAAGUUAGGGUUAGGGUUGGAGCUAGGGUAAGGUUUAGGGUUAGGGUUGGAGCUAGGGUUGGGGAUAGGGUUGGAGCUAGGGUUAGGGUUAGGGUUGGAGCUAGGGUUAGGGUUAGGGUUAGGGUUGGAGCUAGGGUUAGGGUUAGGGUUAGGGUUGGAGCUAGGGUUAGGGUUAGGGUUAGGGUUGGAGCUAGGGUUAGAGUUAGGGUUAGGGUUGGAGCUAGGGUUAGGGUUAGGGUUAGGGUUGGAGCUAGGGUUAGGGUUAGGGUUAGGGUUGGAGCUAGGGUUAGGGUUAGGGUUAGGGUUGGAGCUAGGGUUAGGGUUAGGGUUAGGGUUGGAGCUAGGGUUAGGGUUAGGGUUGGAGCUAGGGUUAGGGUUAGGGUUGGAGCUAGGGUUAGGGUUAGGGUUAGGGUUGGAGCUAGAGUUAGGGUUGCAGCUAGGGUCAGGGUUAGGGUUAGGGUUGGAGAUAGGGUUAGGGUUAGGGUUAGGGUUGGAGCUAGGGUUAGGGUUAGGGUUGGAGCUAGGGUUACGGUUAGGGUUAGAGUUAGGGUUGGAGCUAGGGUUAGGGUUGGAGCUAGGGUUAGAGUUAGGGUUGGAGCUAGGGUUAGGGUUAGGGUUAGGGUUAGGGUUGGAGCAGGGUCAGGGUUAGGGAUGGAGCUAGGGUUAGGGUUAGGGUUAGGGUUGGAGCUACGGUUAGGGUUAGGGUUAGGGUUGGAGCUAGGGUUAGAGCUAGGGUUAGGGUUAGGGUUGGAGCUAGGGUUAGGGUAAGGGUUAGGGUUGGAGCUAGGGUUAGGGUUAGGGUUAGGGUUGGAGCUAGGGUUAGGGUUAGGUUGGAGCUAGGGUUAGGGUUAGGGUUGGAGCUAGGGUUAGGGUUAGGGUUAGGGUUGGAACUAGGGUUAAAGUUAGGGUUAGGGUUGGAGCUAGGGUAAGGGUUAGGGUUAGGGUUGGAGCUAGGGUUGGGGAUAGGGUUGGAGCUAGGGUUAGGGUUAGGGUUGGAGCUAGGGUUAGGGUUAGGGUUAGGGUUGGAGCUAGGGUUAGGGUUAGGGUUAGGGUUGGAGCUAGGGUUAGGGUUAGGGUUAGGGUUGGAGCUAGGGUUAGGGUUGCAGCUAGGGUUAGAGUUAGGGUUAGGGUUGGAGCUAGGGUUAGGGUUAGGGUUAGGGUUGGAGCUAGGGUUAGGGUUAGGGUUAGGGUUGGAGCUAGGGUUAGGGUUAGGGUUAGGGUUCGAGCUAGGGUUAGGGUUAGGGUUAGGGUUGGAGCUAGGGUUAGGGUUGGAGCUAGGGUUAGGGUUAGGGUUAGGGUUGGAGCUAGAGUUAGGGUUGCAGCUAAGGUUAGGGUUAGGGUUAGGGUUGGAGCUAGGGUUAGGGUUAGGGUUGGAGCUAGGGUUAGGGUUAGAGUUGGAGCUAGGGUUAGGGUUAGGGUUGGAGCUAGGGUUAGGGUUAGGGUUAGGGUUGGAGCUAGAGUUAGGGUUGCAGCUAGGGUUAGGGUUAGGGUUAGGGUUGGAGCUAGGGUUAGGGUUAGGGUUGGAGCUAGGGUUAGGGUUAGGGUUAGGGUUGGAGCUAGGGUUACGGUUAGGGUUAGGGUUGGAGCUAGGGUUGGAGCUAGGGUUAGGGUUAGGGUUAGGGUUGGAGCUAGGGUUAGGGAUAGGGUUGGAGCUAGGGUUAGGGUUAGGGUUGGAGCUAGGGUCAGGAUUAGGGUUAGGGUUGGAGCUAGGGUUAGGGUUGGAGCUAGGGUUAGGGUUAGGGUUAGGGUUGGAGCUAGGGUUAGGGUUAGGGUUGGAGCUAGGGUUAGGUUAGGGUUAGGGUUGGAGCCAGGGUUAGGGUUAGGGUUAGGGUUGGAGCUAGGGUUAGGGUUAGGGUUAGGGUUGGAGCUAGGGUUAGGGUUAGGGUUGGAGCUAGGGUUAGAGUUAGGGUUAGGGUUGGAGCUAGGGUUAGGGUUAGGGUUGGAGCUAGGGUUAGGGUUAGGGUUAGGGUUGGAGCUAGGGUUAGGGUUAGGGUUGGAGCUAGGGUUAGGGUUAGGGUUAGGGUUGGAGCUAGAGUUAGGGUUGCAGCUAGGGUUAGGGUUAGGGUUAGGGUUGGAGCUAGGGUUAGGGUUAGGGUUAGGGUUGGAGCUAGGGUUAGGGUUAGGGUUAGGGUUGGAGCUAGGGUUACGGUUAGGGUUAGAGUUAGGGUUGGAGCUAGGGUUAGGGUUGGAGCUAGGGUUAGGGUUAGGGUUGGAGCUAGGGUUAGGGUUAGGGUUAGGGUUGGAGCUAGGGUCAGGGUUAGGGAUGGAGCUAGGGUUAGGGUUAGGGUUAGGGUUGGAGCUAGGGUUAGGGUUAGGGUUAGGGUUGGAGCUAGGGUUAGGGUUAGGGUUGGAGCUAGGGUUAGAGCUAGGGUUAGGGUUAGGGUUGGAGCUAGGGUUAGGGUAAGGGUUAGGGUUGGAGCUAGGGUUAGGGUUAGGGUUGGAGCUAGGGUUAGGGUUAGGUUGGAGCUAGGGUUAGGGUUAGGGUUGGAGCUAGGGUUAGGGUUAGGGUUAGGGUUGGAACUAGGGUUAAAGUUAGGGUUAGGGUUGGAGCUAGGGUAAGGUUUAGGGUUAGGGUUGGAGCUAGGGUUAGGGUUAGGGUUAGGGUUGGAGCUAGGGUUAGGGUUAGGGUUGGAGCUAGGGUUAGAGCUAGGGUUAGGGUUAGGGUUGGAGCUAGGGUUAGGGUAAGGGUUAGGGUUGGAGCUAGGGUUAGGGUUAGGGUUAGGGUUGGAGCUAGGGUUAGAGUUAGGGUUAGGGUUGGAGCUAGGGUUAGGGUUAGGGUUAGGGUUGGAGCUAGGGUUAGGGUUAGGGUUAGGGUUGGAGCUAGGGUUAGGGUUAGGGUUAGGGUUGGAGCUAGGGUUAGGGUUAGGGUUAGGGUUGGAGCUAGGGUUAGGGUUAGGGUUGGAGCUAGGGUUAGGGUUAGGGUUAGGGUUGGAGCUAGAGUUAGGGUUGCAGCUAGGGUCAGGGUUAGGGUUAGGGUUGGAGAUAGGGUUAGGGUUAGGGUUAGGGUUGGAGCUAGGGUUAGGGUUAGAGUUAGGGUUGGAGCUAGGGUUAGGGUUGGAGCUAGGGUUAGAGUUAGGGUUGGAGCUAGGGUUAGGGUUAGGGUUAGGGUUGGAGCAAGGGUCAGGGUUAGGGAUGGAGCUAGGGUUAGGGUUAGGGUUAGGGUUGGAGCUACGGUUAGGGUUAGGGUUAGGGUUGGAGCUAGGUUUAGGGUUAGGGUUGGAGCUAGGGUUAGAGCUAGGGUUAGGGUUAGGGUUGGAGCUAGGGUUAGGGUAAGGGUUAGGGUUGGAGCUAGGGUUAGGGUUAGGGUUAGGGUUGGAGCAAGGGUUAGGGUUAGGUUGGAGCUAGGGUUAGGGUUAGGGUUGGAGCUAGGGUUAGGGUUAGGGUUAGGGUUGGAGCUAGGGUUAGGGUUAGGGUUAGGGUUGGAGCUAGGGUUAGGGCUAGGGUUAGGGUUGGAGCUAGGGUUAGGGUUAGGGUUAGGGUUAGGGUUGGAGCUAGGGUUAGGGUUAGGGUUAGGGUUGGAGCAAGGGUUAGGGUUAGGGUUGGAGCUAGGGUUAGGGUUAGGGUUGCAGCUAGGGUCAGGGUUAGGGUUAGGGUUGGAGCUAGGGUUAGGGUUAGGGUUAGGGUUGGAGCUAGGGUUAGGGUUAGGGUUAGGGUUAGGGUUGGAGCUAGGGUUAGGGUUACGGUUGGAGCUAGGGUUAGGGUUGCAGCUAGGGUUAGGGUUAGGGUUAGGGUUGGAGCUAGGGUUAGG